RNAcentral lists this ribosomal RNA (479 nucleotides) under uncultured bacterium. Its description in RNAcentral is "partial 16S ribosomal RNA". It matches the Rfam family "Bacterial small subunit ribosomal RNA", at positions 28 to 523 of the family's 1533-position model. The record is from RNAcentral.
GACGAACGCUGGCGGCGUGCUUAACACAUGCAAGUCGAACGGUAAGGCCCUUCGGGGUACACGAGUGGCGAACGGGUGAGUAACACGUGGGCAACCUGUCCCUCACUUCGGGAUAACUCCGGGAAACCGGGGCUAAUACCGGAUAUGACCUCCUUGGGCAUCCUUGGAGGUGGAAAGUUUUUCGGUGAGGGAUGGGCCCGCGGCCUAUCAGCUUGUUGGUGAGGUAGUGGCUCACCAAGGCGACGACGGGUAGCCGGCCUGAGAGGGCGACCGGCCACACUGGGACUGAGACACGGCCCAGACUCCUACGGGAGGCAGCAGUGGGGAAUAUUGCGCAAUGGGCGAAAGCCUGACGCAGCAACGCCGCGUGCGGGAUGACGGCCUUCGGGUUGUAAACCGCUUUCAGCAGGGAAGAAGCCGCAAGGUGACGGUACCUGCAGAAGAAGCACCGGCUAACUACGUGCCAGCCGCCGCUGUAA